AUUGUUGAAAUGCCUGGGACAUGUUCUGUACAGCCAGCCCCUGCUCCUGCUGCACCAUCACCAGCUCGUCCAUGCUCAGAUGAUUCUGCUGUUGGGUCUCCAGCACUUGAGAGAGAGCUUCCAAGUUGCAGAUGACACAGCAUUGUCAAAUCCAGAGGCCCCUGCGGACCCAGCAACACCAGCAGAAGAGGGUUGGAUGGCUCCAACAUCACUGCUGCUGUAAAGCUGUGGUCCUUCUAGAGGCCCUGACACUUCUGGAAAAAAAAGGUCCUGUCAUUACUGCAGGGUAUGGCAAUCCUGCAAAUGCUGUGUGAGACAACAUCCACAGCAUGCCCAACUCCACAGCAGUGUAUGUUGUUUCAUCUGGAGGUCCCCAACCUGCAUGGAUAUGAAUGUUGCAAUUAUCAGCCACUUGGAAGUUCACAUGUAAAGCCAAAUCAACUUGGUGUAAAUCAUGAAUGUAUUAGAGCACAUUGAUGUUAUUUAGCACUGCAGUGGUCACUGUCUUGGACCUGACUGCCAGAGUUACUGUACAUACUCCAGUUUAUAAUCCGUUGCUUAGUUGGUUCUUGGUUAUGUUUAUUGACUAUAUGGGUAAAAUUUAUAACAGCACCAUAAUGAAAUACAACAUGUACACAAGAGCAAACUUCUUUUUUAUAUAACUGCAGGGGUUUUAAACACUGCUAACAAUCACCUAACCUAAUUAAACUAAC
Scylla paramamosain (green mud crab) is the source of this 713-nucleotide long non-coding RNA. RefSeq lists it as uncharacterized. The record is from RefSeq and is a predicted model, not a curated record. The transcript is spliced from 3 exons. NCBI's taxonomy places the organism in Eukaryota, Metazoa, Arthropoda, Malacostraca, Decapoda, Portunidae.